RNAcentral lists this ribosomal RNA (410 nucleotides) under uncultured bacterium. Its description in RNAcentral is "bacterial SSU rRNA". It matches the Rfam family "Bacterial small subunit ribosomal RNA", at positions 958 to 1363 of the family's 1533-position model. The record is from RNAcentral.
AACGCGAAGAACCUUACCAAAUCUUGACAUCCUUUGAAAACUCUAGAGAUAGAGCCUUCCCCUUCGGGGGACAAAGUGACAGGUGGUGCAUGGUUGUCGUCAGCUCGUGUCGUGAGAUGUUGGGUUAAGUCCCGCAACGAGCGCAACCCUUAAGCUUAGUUGCCAUCAUUAAGUUGGGCACUCUAGGUUGACUGCCGGUGACAAACCGGAGGAAGGUGGGGAUGACGUCAAAUCAUCAUGCCCCUUAUGAUUUGGGCUACACACGUGCUACAAUGGACAAUACAAAGGGCAGCUAAACCGCGAGGUCAUGCAAAUCCCAUAAAGUUGUUCUCAGUUCGGAUUGUAGUCUGCAACUCGACUACAUGAAGCUGGAAUCGCUAGUAAUCGUAGAUCAGACACGUAAUGGGCCC